Molecule: long non-coding RNA, 1622 nt
Filed under: Monodelphis domestica (gray short-tailed opossum)
Lineage: Eukaryota; Metazoa; Chordata; Mammalia; Didelphimorphia; Didelphidae
Description: lncRNA (ENSMODG00000040225.1)
Source: RNAcentral
UUGAUUCUCUCUUAUUCCUAGUCAUUCAAAUCAAAAAUGGCAGGCUGCAAGUGGGUUGUAGUAUGCCUGAGUGCAUCCAAAUUUGGGCUUUAGCUCACAAAGGUUAUGCAAGCAGAGUAUGAACUGAUGGGCUUGAAGAUUAUUGAGCAAGCAGCAACUCAAGUUAGAGGCUUUUCAGUGAAAGGUAGGCUACCUGGUGUGAGUUUUGUUUUUUUUCCAACAGGUGCUUAUUUUUCAGGCAGUGCAGCAGUACAAUAGAGUGUUGGACCUGGCAUUAGGAAGUGAUGAAUUCAAAUCAUGCCUCAGAUACUUGCUAGCUGUGUGACCCUGGGCUAGGAGCAAUGAAGUUUCUGAAUGUUUGACACAAAGCUUUAAGAAAGGUUCCAUAUGCUGUGGAUUUCACUCUUGAUAUCACUGAAUUUAAUGAGAAAAUGGAAAUAUCAAGAAAGGUGGAGCUGCAACAAUCUCUGAAGAUUAGAAAAUUUUGGAAGCCAGAAGUGCCUGAGAUGACUGCAAGCUCAAAGAAGGCAGAAGCUUGAGAACUUUUGAAGAAGACUCCAGAAGGUUGUGGUGCUUGGGCUCUCACCAAUUCUGCCCCACCUCUCAUGGGAGGCAAGGGUAGUUAUCUUCACUAAGAAGAGCAUCUCCUACUGACGAACUUUAGGACAGGGAUUACAGCCAAAAAUGUAUUCUAAAAGUAUUAUGAACUAUUCAUUGAAAAGUGAAGAGAAUUGAUUUAAAAUCUGUGAGGAGGCAACUAUUAUCAUCCAGGCAGAACGUUCUGAGAGUCUGGGCUAAUAAACAAAGAAGAAGUCAUAGAGAAGAUGGAGUGCAUAUAAGAGAUGCUGUGGAGACUGAAUCAACAAUAAGUGCUAAUUGUUUGGAUUGAGAGGUGAGGGGUAAACAGAGUUCAAGACAGUCUGAUGGUUAUAAGUGAGAGAAAUUAGUAUAGACUCACACAAUUUGAGGUAUGUGGAGUUUUAAAUGGUGGAUUUCAGGGGAAAUGUCUUAUGGACAGUUGGAAAUACUUGCCUGGAACUCAGAAGGGAAGUCAGGGUGAACUUGGGAUUUGGGAGUCACCUGCAUAAAAUUGAAGACACAUCCCUCUUAGUUUUCCUGGCUUCCUUCAAGACUCAAUUCAAAGCAGAUCUUCUGCAAGAGGCUACUCCUGGUCCCCACCAGCUACUAGCACUUCCCUUUCUCUAAUCACCUUCCAUUUAUUUUCUAUAUAACGUGUCAUUCCCUCAGCAUUUACAAGCUGUCCACCCUAUUCACAUGUUAGUUCUAUGAUAGCUUGGACUCUUUUUGCCUUUCUCUUAUUUUUCUAGUUCUUGGAACAGUAUCUGGUACGUAUUGUUCAGUUAUUCAAUCAUGUCCAAUCCAUGAAUGAGUCCCCAUGGACAAGUUUCCUUGGAAAAGAUGUUGGAAUAGUUUGCUAUUUCCUAGUCCAUUGUGUUCCCAUUUUACAGGGAAGAAACUAAGGCAAAUAGGAAUUAUGUGAUUUGCCCAGGGUCACACUAGUAAGCUACUUAGGCAGGGUUUAAAUUUGGAUCCAACUCCAGGUGAGUACUCUACCUGCUGCACUACCUAGCUGCCCACAGUUAGCAUUUAAUAAAAACUUA